GGAGGAGCGGAGGAGGGCGCGGCGCCUCCUGGUAGUCAGAGGCUGGAGGAAGAAGUAAUCAUCCACCUCUGUGUUGUCCACAUCCAGGUCGUCCUCAGAGAUGUCGUCGAGUGUCAAGAUGAUCCCUCAGCAUGUUGCGGUGGCUCCUUUUCUGCUCCAUGGCAAACUCCCUGAGGGUGAAGCGCUUCACCCCGCUGUGACGUGGUGACAUCCCCAGGGUGCUGCCGCCCUGUGUGGGCACGCUGGUGAAGCCUUGCCGCCGGUUGAAGUAGUAGACUGUCACGCUCUCAAAGUGCACAUUGCGACCCCGGAGUCGCUUUGACUGCUGCUGCAGAGAAGCUGAAAGUGAGACAGAGAGUCCAGCAGUCCGGAGGGGACGGGAUGGUUGAGACUAUCGCUGCUGUUGCCGCUGUCGCUGCAGGAAACCUCGUCAUCAUCAGACCCCUGCAGGGAGAGGAAGUCCUCGACUCUCUCCUCUGCAUCACACAGUGUUCACCAGCAGCAGCCAAACAUCCCCAUGUGUCGUGAUGAUGCAGUGAGGGCUGCCAUGAUGCCUGCUCUCUCUCUCUCUCUCCUCUCUCUCUCUCUCUCUCUCCCUCUCCCUCUCUCUCUGUGUCUCUCUCUCUCUUUCCAGCAGCCUCUGGCACUAUUGUGCAGCACUGAGCACUUCUGCCUCUGCCUUGCUAUCUUAUGCGUCCUCCCUUUGCACCCUCAUUCUCUGCUCAUGCUGUCAGCUCUCUCACUGUCUGAUUCUCCUCUGCUCUACACCCCCCUUCCUUUCUCUCUCUCUCUCUCUCUCUCUCUCUCUCUCUCUCUCUCUCUCUCUCCUCACAAAGACUUGUUAGCUCGAUGCUGCUGCCGGCUGGAGCGCUGGAGCUUGACUGAGGACCGCUGGGAGUCCCUGGACCUUACUUUGAGAACCACUGCUCUAGAUGCAUGGAUGCAUCUCGCUGUGGACUUUCAGAGGAAGAGUGGAACAGCAAGAUGAUGCGAUGAAGAGAGCUCCAGUCAAAUGGAAAUGAUGCCAUUUAUGUUUCAUGUGUUGAUUUAAGGGAUGUAACGGUCUCUUUACCGCUGCACUCAGAUCUGAUGGUUUUGUCUGCUGCUGUCACAUGUUGUCAUGUGCAUCAUCAGUCUGUUUACACUCUGUCGCUUUUUGCUUUUUAUCAACACGCCAACUUUUCCAGCUCAACCAGAGGAUUGUUUGAAAAAUGUAUUUUUUUUAUGUGCAAAUCAAAAAUACACAAAGAAGCAGGUGUAAUCAAAGCACAUUGUUACUAUGUUGUACUUUUAGGAGGUUAACAUUAAUACACCCAACCAUUUCUUUUAAACGUGAUUGACCACCUGACGCCCACGCACAAGCCCCUAAACAUUGUUGCUAUAGCAAUGCUAGACCCUGAAUGUUCAGUCUUCCCAUUAUAGUGGUGCACAGUAGAAAAAUAUCCAGAGUGAAGCUUCCAAGAGCCUCAGCCUUGAGUUUGUAUGUACUGUACACAAAGAUGGUGUGUUAAAGUGAUUCAGCUUCAUCUGUUUGUGUAGGACGUCUCCUUUUUCUUCAUUCCUGAAUGCAGCACAGACAAACCUGGACUUGCUAGUUUUUAUAAUUAAGCUUUAAUCUUCAUAAUUAGGGCGCUUGAUGCAUUCAUGGUACAUAAGUGUUGAAUGGUUAAAUAUGAAUAAAUACAUUAACCAGGUCAGCAGUGCAUUAAGAUCUGCAACAGCUGAUACAAGUCUCCUCUCUUUCCACAGUGAGGAGCUUCAUCAUUAGUUUAAAGGGUGAUUAAAAAGUGCUGAAGCUCGUGCUCCGUCUGCUUGUAAUACUGCAAAAUUUAAGGUGUGAAACUUGGAGUUAAAUACUCGUAACAUGAAUGAAGUGCUUAGUUUGAAUACAUUUGCUCAUAUCACUGCAGGAGAAGGGGGCUGUUAGAAGUCAGCACUGUUGAGAUUUAAAAAUUUAAGUGAGUGAAAUUAAAAGUUACUGCAUUUAAAAAAAAAAAGAAAUUACACUAAGAAAUACAAUAUAAGUUAUUAUAUGGAAGUUAUUAUUUGCUGCUCCAGAGGGUUUCUCUCUGCUGUGCUUCGAAUCGUCUUGUUUUCUCCCGGCAAGGAUGGAGUGGCGAUGUGCGGUAGAGACGGAGUGAUCCUUCCAAUCAGCUUCCAU
Seriola aureovittata is the source of this 2161-nucleotide long non-coding RNA. RefSeq lists it as uncharacterized. NCBI's taxonomy places the organism in Eukaryota, Metazoa, Chordata, Actinopteri, Carangiformes, Carangidae. The transcript is spliced from 6 exons. The record is from RefSeq and is a predicted model, not a curated record.